CCUACGGGGGGCAGCAGUGGGGAAUAUUGGACAAUGGGCGAAAGCCUGAUCCAGCCAUGCCGCGUGUGUGAAGAAGGCCUUCGGGUUGUAAAGCACUUUCAGUGGGGAAGAAAGCCUUGGGGCUAAUACCCUCGAGGAAGGACAUCACCCACAGAAGAAGCACCGGCUAACUCCGUGCCAGCAGCCGCGGUAAUACGGAGGGUGCGAGCGUUAAUCGGAAUUACUGGGCGUAAAGCGCGCGUAGGCGGUCUGAUAAGCCGGUUGUGAAAACCCCGGGCUCAACCUGGGAACGGCAUCCGGAACUGUCAGGCUAGAGUGCAGGAGAGGAAGGUAGAAUUCCCGGUGUAGCGGUGAAAUGCGUAGAGAUCGGGAGGAAUACCAGUGGCGAAGGCGGCCUUCUGGACUGACACUGACGCUGAGGUGCGAAAGCGUGGGUAGCAAACAGGAUUAGAUACCCGGGUAGUC
Molecule: ribosomal RNA, 465 nt
Filed under: Vreelandella stevensii
Lineage: Bacteria; Pseudomonadati; Pseudomonadota; Gammaproteobacteria; Oceanospirillales; Halomonadaceae
Description: partial 16S ribosomal RNA
Rfam family: Bacterial small subunit ribosomal RNA
Source: RNAcentral